RNAcentral lists this ribosomal RNA (789 nucleotides) under uncultured beta proteobacterium. RNAcentral's name for it is "bacterial SSU rRNA". It matches the Rfam family "Bacterial small subunit ribosomal RNA", at positions 89 to 873 of the family's 1533-position model. Lineage: Bacteria; Pseudomonadati; Pseudomonadota; Betaproteobacteria. The record is from RNAcentral.
GGAUUAGUGGCGAACGGGUGAGUAACAUAUCGGAACGUACCUUGUAAUGGGGGAUAACUAGUCGAAAGAUUAGCUAAUACCGCAUACGCCCUGAGGGGGAAAGUAGGGGAUCUUCGGACCUUACGUUAUAAGAGCGGCCGAUAUCUGAUUAGCUAGUUGGUGGGGUAAUGGCCUACCAAGGCGACGAUCAGUAGCUGGUCUGAGAGGACGACCAGCCACACUGGAACUGAGACACGGUCCAGACUCCUACGGGAGGCAGCAGUGGGGAAUUUUGGACAAUGGGCGCAAGCCUGAUCCAGCCAUUCCGCGUGAGUGAAGAAGGCCUUCGGGUUGUAAAGCUCUUUCGCAAGGGAAGAAAACUUACAUUCUAAUAAAGUGUGAGGCUGACGGUACCUUGAUAAGAAGCACCGGCUAACUACGUGCCAGCAGCCGCGGUAAUACGUAGGGUGCGAGCGUUAAUCGGAAUUACUGGGCGUAAAGCGUGCGCAGGCGGUUUUGUAAGUCAGAUGUGAAAUCCCCGAGCUCAACUUGGGAACUGCGUUUGAAACUACAAGACUAGAAUAUGUCAGAGGGGGGUAGAAUUCCACGUGUAGCAGUGAAAUGCGUAGAGAUGUGGAGGAAUACCAAUGGCGAAGGCAGCCCCCUGGGAUAAUAUUGACGCUCAUGCACGAAAGCGUGGGGAGCAAACAGGAUUAGAUACCCUGGUAGUCCACGCCCUAAACGAUGUCUACUAGUUGUUGGUGGAGUAAAAUCCAUGAGUAACGCAGCUAACGCGUGAAGUAGACCGCC